GUUCAAGCGAGACACUUCGCUAUAAUUACUCACCGAGGCCUUUCGCUCGUCCUCAGAUUCAAAUCGCGAGAAAAAUGUUUGUCAGUUUUGUUAAUCAAAGCAUGAAUUUUCUGCUGAAUGGAGCUUCUAAUUCUUUGAAAACGCUGUCGACAAAGUUAGGGUUUCGAUAGGUUAUAGAAGGUUGGAAACAUUGAUUUCCGAAUCUAGGGUUCGAAAACGAGUCCGAUUCAAAUUGCGAAAAGGGGAAGAGGAACGACGAAUGAAGACUUGAAGCUACGAAUGGAUGGGCAGUGACUGAAAUAGAAGCAGAAAUGAUACUCGAGGCUCAGGAGAAAGAAAAGGUGGAGGUCAAAUUUAACCCUAACUUCAAGUUCAACAAGUUGGGCGAGUUUCUUAUCAAAAACCAGCUCUACUCAGAAUUUCUGCUUAAAAAAAUGGAUGGCAUCACCACCAACAAUGUAGUGAAUAAAGUUGAAGAAGAAACGAUAUUUCCGAUGUAGAAGAUUCUUCUAAAGAGAAGCAGGGCUAAAGAGGGAGGCUGUUAAGAGUGCUUCAAAGUUCAGCAAUGUGCAUAUGUUUGUUUGUUUAGAGAAAAGUGAGGACUGUCAUCGCAGCUAUGUUGACAGAGAUGGUCAUGCGUGCAUAUGGACCAAGGGUGGACUUUAUUCCUGGCAUUGAUUUAGUAAUAAGCUGUUGCGUUGGGUGCCUUCAAAACUCGUUGAUGGAGGGCAAUCCCAAAUAACUUUUUUCCUUGUAUAUCAAUGAUGCCAUUUGAGCCGUUCUUUGAUGAUUGUAUAUUACUACUCACGGAGUGAUAUCUUUUACAUGCUUCUAGUCUAGAUGUUUGGUAAUUCCAAGCUAACAUCAAAUUGGCUUUUUCUGUCAGGAAAAUCCUUUAUCUGUCAGGAAAAUCCUGUUCGUGCCAAUGGCCAGAUCUUCGGAAAUCCUUACAAUGAAGUUACAGUAAAGAAAACCUGCAGAAAAUGUUGAAUUGCUAACUUUUACUUCUCUCACUCACAGGUGUACUCGAAGGUCUCUGGAGAACCAGCUUUGAAGGUUCCAACAGUACAUGCCAGCUCCAGGAUCUUUAUGGAAAUAGAAUAUGAUUAUAGCUCUACUUUCUACUCUCUCCAACUGGUUUAAUGAUUUCUAAAGGUUUGUUCUCUCCAUGUGUACUAUCACAUAUCAUAGAACUGAGGAAGAAAGCACAAAGACAAGAAAAAAGUUCAUGUGUACGCUAAUCAUAGAACUAAGCAAGUAUGUUCUAGUGGAUGAGGGCCAUCGCUUGAAAUAUGCACCCUCUUAGUAAGGGAAUUAAAACGCUUACCAAUGGAAAAUAACCUUCUUUUGACUGACCCUGCUUUUUGAUUUUUCGAGGAGGGCCAACGGUGACUUAGAGCAGGAAAAUGUUUGCAUUAAGAGAAGGGUUGAGGUAAACUGGGACGAGGGUAUGGACUGAUGCGGCAAAUGUGAUGUUAAGGGUAACUCCACUAUCAAUUGGCUUCCGAAUGGCUCAUUGAACUAAAAAAAGUAUGUACGUCCACGUACUGCAGAAGUUCUCACGGUGUUCAUAGGUACAGGAGGAGAAGUCCGGCAGAAGUCAAUGACUUCGUGUGAAUAUCCUUUCAUUGUAUGGAUCAAAGCUUUGGAAUUGCUUAUUCAAAUGCCAUCAUGUAGAGCAAGAGAGACAAAAAAGAAGUGCAUAAUGAUGAGAAAGGACUAGUGUAAAGUUGGCAACAGCCCGUUCAGUGUUGUGCCAUUGACAUCAGAGACUAUUGAUCAGGUUGUACUUGAUGGAAAUAAAGACUUGUGAACUUGUAUGCACUAUGGUGUGGUCAUUGCAAAAAUAUUGCUCAACCUUUCGAAGGUAUCCAAUGCUUUAAACUGGAAGAGGAUGUUGUAAUAACUAACCUUGAUGCGGAUAAUUACAAGAAUUUGGCUAAGAAGUUAUUUGGAAAGGCACAAGUCAUAGUUGCGGAACCUAGAGUUUGUUUACGAUUAUAUUGAAUUAUGUCGAUCAUUAUGUGAGCAGAAUUAACAUUUGGCUAUUCAUCUCAUAAUAUUGAUUUCUCUUUCGUCCAUGAUUUGCAACUUGUGAAUUUCUUUUUCCAA
This is a long non-coding RNA of Asparagus officinalis (garden asparagus), 2112 nucleotides long. RefSeq lists it as uncharacterized. The record is from RefSeq and is a predicted model, not a curated record. Lineage: Eukaryota; Viridiplantae; Streptophyta; Magnoliopsida; Asparagales; Asparagaceae. The transcript has 15 exons.